This 482-nucleotide ribosomal RNA is filed under the name uncultured bacterium. RNAcentral's name for it is "partial 16S ribosomal RNA". It matches the Rfam family "Bacterial small subunit ribosomal RNA", at positions 28 to 523 of the family's 1533-position model. The record is from RNAcentral.
GACGAACGCUGGCGGCGUGCUUAACACAUGCAAGUCGAAUGAUGAAGCCCAGCUUGCUGGGUGGAUUAGUGGCGAACGGGUGAGUAACACGUGGGCAACCUGCCCCAAACUCUGGGAUAACCCCUCGAAAGAGGAGCUAAUACCGGAUACGAACCGGACAGACAUCUGUACCAGUUGGAAAGUUUUUCGGUUUGGGAUGGGCCCGCGGCCUAUCAGCUUGUUGGUGAGGUAACGGCUCACCAAGGCUACGACGGGUAACCGGCCUGAGAGGGCGACCGGUCACACUGGGACUGAGACACGGCCCAGACUCCUACGGGAGGCAGCAGUGGGGAAUAUUGCGCAAUGGGCGAAAGCCUGACGCAGCGACGCCGCGUGAGGGAUGAAGGUCUUCGGAUCGUAAACCUCUUUCAGUAGGGACGAAGCGAAAGUGACGGUACCUAAAGAAGAAGCACCGGCUAACUACGUGCCAGCCGCCGCCGUAA